AUUAAAAACACUAACUUUCUCAGCAUUAGACAACCAAGUGUCUUUAAAAUAAUCGAAGUAAAUAAGUAUAUUUAAAUCUACUUGCUUUACAUUAUUUAUUUCUUUGCUGAUAAUUUUUUCUGCUUCGGGAAACAAUGAAGGUGGCAACAGAGGCACAUUCAUCAUUAGGGACAAAAUGUACUGGGGAGUUUUUAAUUUAUAAGAAACCCAGUUCCUAAUUAGAGCCUACAAUUAAAAUAGCAUCGAAGGAGAUAUUAGGAAAAAAAUAAAAAAUGGAUUGGAUUUUAAGAAUUUUAAUUCUAGGAUACAUCGUCACAUUAUCAAGUAAUGUUCAAGGUCAAAGAGUUGCACCAAGUAGUCCACCCCAGCAUUUUUAGCAGCAAGAAGGCCUGCUACAGCAAAUGCAUCAACAGCGAGUUCGCCGACUGCAAGUUCACCAACAUGUUUAUUUUGAUAUUUUUAUAAUAUGUUAUGAUCUAAUCAUUUGCCCAGCUAAGCGGGCGGGUAACGGCUAGUUGUAUAUAACACAGUCUUGGUGAUAAUUUCUCAAAUUCUCAUGAUAUUAAUUAAAGAUACGUUUUUAAUAUGCGAUUUUUUUUUAAUUAUUUAUGUACUUAAGUAAAUGACAAUAACUCAACAAUGUUAUAUUGGAAUUAUAAUUUUAUGAUUGCAUAAAACAUAAUUGUUUGUUCAGAACAUGUUAUUACUACUGAAUAGUAUUUUGUAAGUAUCAGCAAAAAACAAUUAAUUAUACACUACAUGAACAUACAUUAUUUGUAUAUUAUUAAUUGUUAAUAAUCCCAGGCUCAGUUUCUGACCCUCAGAAUUAAUCGUGUUGCACAGUUUAUGAUCUUGGCAGUGGCCUAAUUUCUGAACCUCAAUUUUAAGUAUGAUAAUGUUAACAAAUACCUACUAAUUUUAAAUAAACUUAACUUAUUACUUAAGUAAAUAAAUUUAAUAUUUGCUAUGAAAAGACAGUUUAAAACUAAAAAAUUGCGUAGCGUGGUGGCCAGAAGUAAAACAAAAGAGUCGCUUGCAAGUAAAAUUUUAUGAA
Cotesia glomerata is the source of this 1054-nucleotide long non-coding RNA. RefSeq lists it as uncharacterized. NCBI's taxonomy places the organism in Eukaryota, Metazoa, Arthropoda, Insecta, Hymenoptera, Braconidae. The transcript has 3 exons. The record is from RefSeq and is a predicted model, not a curated record.